This 253-nucleotide ribosomal RNA is filed under the name uncultured bacterium. RNAcentral's name for it is "partial 16S ribosomal RNA". It matches the Rfam family "Bacterial small subunit ribosomal RNA", at positions 524 to 776 of the family's 1533-position model. The record is from RNAcentral.
UACGUAGGGGGCUAGCGUUGUCCGGAAUUAUUGGGCGUAAAGCGCGCGCAGGCGGUCCUUUAAGUCUGAUGUGAAAGCCCACGGCUCAACCGUGGAGGGUCAUUGGAAACUGGGGGACUUGAGUACAGAAUAGAAGAGUGGAAUUCCACGUGUAGCGGUGAAAUGCGUAGAGAUGUGGAGGAACACCAGUGGCGAAGGCGACUCUUUGGUCUGUAACUGACGCUGAGGCGCGAAAGCGUGGGGAGCAAACAGG